This 855-nucleotide ribosomal RNA is filed under the name Sulfitobacter sp. MAR2. Its description in RNAcentral is "bacterial SSU rRNA". It matches the Rfam family "Bacterial small subunit ribosomal RNA", at positions 14 to 916 of the family's 1533-position model. The record is from RNAcentral. Lineage: Bacteria; Pseudomonadati; Pseudomonadota; Alphaproteobacteria; Rhodobacterales; Roseobacteraceae.
UGAUCCUGGCUCAGGAUGAACGCUAGCGGCAGGCGCCUAACACAUGCAAGUCGAGCGCACCUUCGGGUGAGCGGCGGACGGGUUAGUAACGCGUGGGAACAUACCCUUUUCUACGGAAUAGCCUCGGGAAACUGAGAGUAAUACCGUAUAAGCCCUUCGGGGGAAAGAUUUAUCGGGAAAGGAUUGGCCCGCGUUAGAUUAGAUAGUUGGUGGGGUAAUGGCCUACCAAGUCUACGAUCUAUAGCUGGUUUUAGAGGAUGAUCAGCAACACUGGGACUGAGACACGGCCCAGACUCCUACGGGAGGCAGCAGUGGGGAAUCUUAGACAAUGGGCGCAAGCCUGAUCUAGCCAUGCCGCGUGUGUGAUGAAGGUCUUAGGAUCGUAAAGCACUUUCGCCAGGGAUGAUAAUGACAGUACCUGGUAAAGAAACCCCGGCUAACUCCGUGCCAGCAGCCGCGGUAAUACGGAGGGGGUUAGCGUUGUUCGGAAUUACUGGGCGUAAAGCGUACGUAGGCGGAUUGGAAAGUUGGGGGUGAAAUCCCAGGGCUCAACCCUGGAACUGCCUCCAAAACUAUCAGUCUAGAGUUCGAGAGAGGUGAGUGGAAUUCCAAGUGUAGAGGUGAAAUUCGUAGAUAUUUGGAGGAACACCAGUGGCGAAGGCGGCUCACUGGCUCGAUACUGACGCUGAGGUACGAAAGUGUGGGGAGCAAACAGGAUUAGAUACCCUGGUAGUCCACACCGUAAACGAUGAAUGCCAGUCGUCGGGCAGUAUACUGUUCGGUGACACACCUAACGGAUUAAGCAUUCCGCCUGGGGAGUACGGUCGCAAGAUUAAAACUCAAAGGAAUUGACGG